AUCUCAAUCAAAUGCAACAAUUACCUAACAUAGCUUUAAAUAUGCAAUUAUGCAACAAAUUAGGCACCCUUAUUUGGAACUCUAUAUUAAUAAAGAGAAAAUAUUGCUUUUAGUGGAUUCUUCACACAAAAUCUUUAAACUUCAAAUUGAAAAGAAAACUGAAAUUUAGCGGGUUUUUUGUUCUCCAUUUCACUAUUGUGGAAGCUUUUGAUUUUCUAAAAACCCUUUCUCGUGAAGGGAUAAAGAAAGAAACCCCACCGCCGUCAAAAACCCUUCUUUCCAUCUUCAUUCAUUUCCACACCCCUUCUUCUAUCUUGUGUUGGCUUAUUUGGAGAUUUGCUUUUAAGUGUACCACUCUCACCAUGUUUGGAACUCAUAGACAACUCUAGCGUGACAAGUUUGUCUAGAUCAAUUUAGGUGGUAAAUUUUUUUAACAUAAACUGUCUUGAACAAUGAUUGUUCUGAAUGUAAUUCUCGCUUCUACGGUGACAUGGAACUAAUUCUCGCUGUUUUUUAACAAAUGUAUAGCAGAUUGACUUUUUGCUAUAGUUUUAUUUUAUUUUUAUUGAACAACUGUUUUAUACUCUUCCCUUAUUUAUCUAUUUUAUGCCAUUUUUACUGGUCAGUUAUUUUUAUGGGUUUGAGCUAUGCUUAUGUUAAAUUAAUGGAACCAUAUGCUUACCUUCUCUUA
Long non-coding RNA from Cicer arietinum (chickpea), 691 nucleotides. RefSeq lists it as uncharacterized. NCBI's taxonomy places the organism in Eukaryota, Viridiplantae, Streptophyta, Magnoliopsida, Fabales, Fabaceae. The record is from RefSeq and is a predicted model, not a curated record.